RNAcentral lists this transfer RNA (85 nucleotides) under Fukomys damarensis (Damara mole-rat). It matches the Rfam family "tRNA". From Rfam's summary of the family: Transfer RNA (tRNA) molecules are approximately 80 nucleotides in length. Lineage: Eukaryota; Metazoa; Chordata; Mammalia; Rodentia; Bathyergidae. The record is from Rfam by way of RNAcentral.
AGAGAUAUAGCUGAGUGGCACAGCACUUGCCUAGUAUGUUCAAGGCCCAUGUUCAAGGUACUGGGUUCAAACCCCAGUAUCACAA